CAGCCGCCGCGGUAAUACGUAGGUGGCAAGCGUUGUCCGGAAUUAUUGGGCGUAAAGCGCGCGCAGGCGGUCCCUUAAGUCUGAUGUGAAAGCCCACGGCUCAACCGUGGAGGGUCAUUGGAAACUGGGGGACUUGAGUGCAGAAGAGGAAAGUGGAAUUCCACGUGUAGCGGUGAAAUGCGUAGAGAUGUGGAGGAACACCAGUGGCGAAGGCGACUUUCUGGUCUGUAACUGACGCUGAGGCGCGAAAGCGUGGGGAGCAAACAGGAUUAGAUACCCUGGUAGUCCACGCCGUAAACGAUGAGUGCUAAGUGUUAGGGGGUUUCCGCCCCUUAGUGCUGCAGCUAACGCAUUAAGCACUCCGCCUGGGGAGUACGGCCGCAAGGCUGAAACUUAAAGGAAUUGGCGG
RNAcentral lists this ribosomal RNA (409 nucleotides) under uncultured microorganism. RNAcentral's name for it is "bacterial SSU rRNA". It matches the Rfam family "Bacterial small subunit ribosomal RNA", at positions 509 to 916 of the family's 1533-position model. The record is from RNAcentral.